AAACGACAUUCUCUGAUAACUUUGUAAACACAGCAGUUAUGCCCUUAAAGAUGGCGCCUCCGGGGUGGUCACGUGACAAUAAUUUGCCUGAGGGAACUAUUCCUGAGGUGACAUUCUUUUCAGCUGUUUUAUCGACGCCUUUCUUCGGUUGAAUCACCGAUUUAACGAUUACAUGAGACGUGAUACAUUCCAAUCUGCUAAACGAAGUAUGGAUUGUCCAGAGACUUCUCACACACAUGUUCAGGAGCUACAGGCUGUUGUUGGAUGGAUGUAUCUAGAUUCAGCUCAGGACCUUCAGAGGCGUAGUAUUCCUGACCCAUGAAUAGGACAUUUUCCUCUCUGCUGAUCCGUGAUCUGCUGUAAGAAGCUCUCCGUCUCACGCAUCCUGGAAUCUCCAUUAAAAUAUUGGCAAGAGCAGCAUGAACAUUCGUGAAAAUAUCUCCAUUUGUUUAAGAAGAAAGGACUGGGUGAACAAUUUGAGG
RNA transcript from Pimephales promelas (fathead minnow), 482 nucleotides. It is a transcript of the gene named nuclear receptor interacting protein 1b, with no coding region annotated. The record is from RefSeq and is a predicted model, not a curated record. NCBI's taxonomy places the organism in Eukaryota, Metazoa, Chordata, Actinopteri, Cypriniformes, Leuciscidae.